AUUUAUCGGUGAUGGAUGGGGAUGCGUCUGAUUAGCUUGUUGGCGGGGUAACGGCCCACCAAGGCUACGAUCAGUAGGGGUUCUGAGAGGAAGGUCCCCCACAUUGGAACUGAGACACGGUCCAAACUCCUACGGGAGGCAGCAGUGAGGAAUAUUGGUCAAUGGGCGAGAGUCUGAACCAGCCAAGUAGCGUGCAGGAAGACGGCCCUAUGGGUUGUAAACUGCUUUUAUAAGGGAAUAAAGUGAGUCUCGUGAGACUUUUUGCAUGUACCUUAUGAAUAAGGACCGGCUAAUUCCGUGCCAGCAGCCGCGGUAAUACGGAAGGUCCGGGCGUUAUCCGGAUUUAUUGGGUUUAAAGGGAGCGUAGGCCGGAGAUUAAGCGUGUUGUGAAAUGUAGACGCUCAACGUCUGCACUGCAGCGCGAACUGGUUUCCUUGAGUACGUACAAAGUGGGCGGAAUUCGUGGUGUAGCGGUGAAAUGCUUAGAUAUCACGAAGAACUCCGAUUGCGAAGGCAGCUCACUGGAGCGCAACUGACGCUGAAGCUCGAAAGUGCGGGUAUCGAACAGGAUUAGAUACCCUGGUAGUCCGCACGGUAAACGAUGGAUGCCCGCUGUUGGUCUGAAUAGGUCAGCGGCCAAGCGAAAGCAUUAAGCAUCCCACCUGGGGAGUAC
Molecule: ribosomal RNA, 673 nt
Filed under: uncultured bacterium
Lineage: Bacteria
Description: bacterial SSU rRNA
Rfam family: Bacterial small subunit ribosomal RNA
Source: RNAcentral